UACGGAGGAUGCGAGCGUUAUCCGGAUUUAUUGGGUUUAAAGGGUGCGUAGGUGGCUGAUUAAGUCAGUGGUGAAAGUUUGUCGCUCAACGAUAAAAUUGCCAUUGAAACUGGUUAGCUUGAGUAUGUUUGAGGUAGGCGGAAUGCGUAGUGUAGCGGUGAAAUGCAUAGAUAUUACGCAGAACUCCAAUUGCGAAGGCAGCUUACUAAACCAUAACUGACACUGAUGCACGAAAGCGUGGGUAUCAAACAGG
RNAcentral lists this ribosomal RNA (253 nucleotides) under uncultured bacterium. Its description in RNAcentral is "partial 16S ribosomal RNA". It matches the Rfam family "Bacterial small subunit ribosomal RNA", at positions 524 to 776 of the family's 1533-position model. The record is from RNAcentral.